GUUGUUCCGCCAGGGGCAUUGUAGAGUAGCUACGUUGGGAAUAGAUAAGCGCUGAAAGCAUCUAAGUGCGAAACUCCCCUCAAGAUGAGACUUCCAAAUAGGGCCGUCAGAGACGAUGACGUUGAUAGGCUACAGGUGUAAAGGCAGUAAUGUCAUAGCUGAGUAGUACUAAUUGCCCAAAAACU
RNAcentral lists this ribosomal RNA (185 nucleotides) under Heterosigma akashiwo. RNAcentral describes it as "partial Bacterial large subunit ribosomal RNA". It matches the Rfam family "Bacterial large subunit ribosomal RNA", at positions 2720 to 2925 of the family's 2925-position model. Lineage: Eukaryota; Raphidophyceae; Chattonellales; Chattonellaceae. The record is from RNAcentral.